AAAUGAUGUUGACUCAUCAGUAGAUUCCUUUCCUAAUACUGAUGACAGUGGAGAUGUUUUCCCAUCUUCUGCAUUGGCUAGUGCAAAUACGUUAACAACAGCCUCUAAUGUAGAUCACCUCAUUACUGAUUUGCCAGGCACGCCAAUGCUGUCAUCUCAUCAACAAACUUCUCGUUUCGGAAAUGGUAAGUUAUAUUUCAUUCGUGUUAUAGAGCACUCAUUAGUCAUUACUGCUUGUUCCCAUUAAUUGAAUAACACUUUCUUUCGUUUUUAGAUGGCGUUACAAAAAAAACCAUUCACGAUAGACGUAGUUGCUUCGGAUCGCAAAAUAAAAGCUGCAGCACUUGUAAGAAGUACGUUUCAGCGACCCAUCGCAACUUUCGGUCCACACAAAAGUUGUUCUGUGCACGUUGUCUCCCUCGUGUUGCCAGUGUCGUACGUCAACUAGAAAAAAGCAAACGAAAACUAGCAGCAGUGCGGAAACAGCUUAAACGUACACAACAACUUUUGAAAGAGUCACUGGAGAGAGAGAACGAAACGAAGUCAAUUAUACGUGCACUGAAAUCGAACGUUGCAACAUUAAAGAAGGAUACACUGGAGGCUUCUAUUGCCAUUCUCCCACGUCAGAACCGAAUUCGUUUAGAUAAUGAUUUCACACGGUACCUAACGACCAAACGCUGCCUGUGAUUUGACCAAAAAUUGAACAACGAAAAAUAUUUACAUUACAACAUUUAGUUACUUACUUUUUUAAUUCCAUGUUUUGGAACAAUCGUAGAUCCUUUUAUAUUCUAACUUUUUUUACUGUCUGAAACCAAUAUUUGACAUUUUGUAUUAAUCAUUACCAGUUUGAAUACAUUCAUUUCUUAGA
Daphnia magna is the source of this 868-nucleotide long non-coding RNA. RefSeq lists it as uncharacterized. NCBI's taxonomy places the organism in Eukaryota, Metazoa, Arthropoda, Branchiopoda, Diplostraca, Daphniidae. The transcript has 4 exons. The record is from RefSeq and is a predicted model, not a curated record.